RNAcentral lists this ribosomal RNA (1481 nucleotides) under uncultured Bordetella sp. RNAcentral's name for it is "partial 16S-23S ribosomal RNA intergenic spacer". It matches the Rfam family "Bacterial small subunit ribosomal RNA". The record is from RNAcentral. Lineage: Bacteria; Pseudomonadati; Pseudomonadota; Betaproteobacteria; Burkholderiales; Alcaligenaceae.
AGUUCGAUUCUGGCUCAGAUUGAACGCUGGCGGGAUGCUUUACACAUGCAAGUCGAACGGCAGCACGGACUUCGGUCUGGUGGCGAGUGGCGAACGGGUGAGUAAUGUAUCGGAACGUGCCUAGUAGCGGUGAUAACUACGGCUGUAGCUAAUACCGCAUACGCCUCUUCUUGGGGAAAGCGGACCUUCCGGGCCUUGCACUAUUAGAGCGGCCGAUAUCGGAUUAGCUAGUUGGUGGGGUAUCCGUUCACCAAGGCGCGACGAUCCGUAGCUGGUUUGAGAGGACGAAUGUCGCCACUGGGACUGGGCACAGACACGGCCCAGACUCCUACGGAGGCAGCAGUGGGGAAUUUUGGAGCGCAAUGGGGAAGUCCCAUCCAGCCAUCCCGCGUGUGCGAUGAAGGCCUUCGUUGUAAAGCACUUUUGGCAGGAAGUUGAAACGGCACGGGAUAAUACUCCCGUGCAACUGACGGUACCUGCAGAAUAAGCACUGGCUAACUACGUGCCAGCAGCCGCGGUAAUAAUGGGGUGCAAGCGUUAAUCGGAAUUACUGGGCGUAAGCGUGCGCAGGCGGUUCGGAAAGAAAGAUGUGAAAUCCCAGAGCUUAACUUUGAACUGCAUUUAACUACCGAGCUAGAGUGUCAGAGGGAGGAAUUCGCGUGUAGCAGUGAAAUGGGUAGAUAUGCGGAGGAACACCGAUGGCGAAGGGGCAGCCUCCGGGAUAACACUGACGCUCAUGCACGAAAGCGUGGAGCAAACAGGAUUAGAGCUACCCCUGGUGUCCACGCCCUAAACGAUGUCAACUAGCUGUUGGGGCUUCUCGGGCCUUGGUAGCGCAGCUAACGCGUGAAGUUGACCGCCUGGGGAGUACGGUCGCAAGAUUAAAACUCAAAGGAAUUGACGGGAACCGCACAAGCGGUGGAUGAUGUGGAUUAAUCGAUGCAACGCGAAAAAACCUUACCUACCCUUGACAUGUCUGAAUCCCAAAAGAGAUUUGGGAGUGCUCGCAAGAGAACCGGAACACAGGUGCUGUAUGGCUGUCGGCCAGUUCGUGUCGAGAUGUUGUUAAGUCCCGCAACGAGCGUGCAACCCUUGUCAUUAGUUGCUACGAAAGGGCACUCUAAUGAGACUGCCGGUGACAAACCGGAGGAAGGUGGGGAUGACGUCAAGUCCUCAUGGCUCCCAGUGGGUAGGGCUUCACACGUCAUACAAUGGUCGGGACAGAGGGUCGCCAACCCGCGAGGGGUGAGCCAAUCCCAGAAACCCGAUCGUAGUCCGGAUCGCAGUCUGCAAUCGACUGCGUGAAGUCGGAAUCGCUAGUAAUCGCGGAUCAGCAUGUCGCGGUGAAUACGUUCCCGGGUCUUGUGCCACACCGCCCGUCACACCAUGGGAGUGGGUUUUACCAGAAGUAGUUAGCCUAACCGUAAGGAGGCGAUUACCACGGUAGGAUUCAUGACUGGGGUAAAGUCGUAACAAGGUAA